AUCCAAUUGGGUUGUUUUGUUGUUGUUGUUAUGUUUUAUUAUUAUUCCAGAUUUGACCACUGUUUUCCAGAUCCAAAUUAUUCCAUCCAUGAGUCUACCAUGUGGAUAAGCCCCUAGAGGUAAUACUGGGAGAAGUGUAAAUCCUACAGAAUCCGAAUGGCUGUCAGAAGAAAGUAUGGCCUGAGCCAAAAGGCGAUUGCAUAAGUACAAAGGUUAAGCUUGACUCCUACUAAUGGAAGGAGAGGUCUUGUGAGCAGGUAAAACAAGUUUUUUAAAGCCUGAUUCUUCAUUCCUGAACCGUGUGCACAUCAUGCAAGUCAGACCCGCCAUACAGAUUUGACCACUGUUUUCCAGAUCCAAAUUAUUAUUGUUGGAGAAAUCACAUUGACCCUUUAGAAGAACAGAUUGAUUUCCCCUCCUCUCAGUUGUGGGGGUAAGGAAUCUCACAAAUAAUGCUAUAGGUCACAGCAGUGAGGAAAGCAACCUAGUCAAGCAUCCAGACACUUGCUGGUGAUAAUUACAACCACUGGCCCCUUGCAGAGUGUCUCUUCCCUGUGACUCAACAGUAUUGCGACCCACCUCCGGUUAUUUGUUUGCUCCGAUACCUGGAGAUCCUCCAACUAAGGUGCAGUGCCUGAAACCAGAAAAGAGAAUUGGAUCCCUUGGACCUGGAACUACAUACAGACAGUUGUGAACUUCAGUGUGGAUUCUGGGAGCUGAAUUCUAGCCUUCUGCAAGAGGAACAAGUGCUCU
Long non-coding RNA from Microtus oregoni (creeping vole), 753 nucleotides. RefSeq lists it as uncharacterized. The transcript is spliced from 4 exons. The record is from RefSeq and is a predicted model, not a curated record. Lineage: Eukaryota; Metazoa; Chordata; Mammalia; Rodentia; Cricetidae.